GGCGGACGGGAAGGCGGGAGAGGAGAAGCCCGAGAAGCCGCAGCGAGCCGGAGCCGCCGGAGGUGAAAACAACCCCAGCGUCGCGGGCUGCGGGGGCUACUCCGGCCUUUCUUGGGGUUUCCCGGGGUGGGGGGGCUUUACGGCAUCUCAGGAACGGGCGGAGCUGGCGCUCGCCCGGCCAGGGGCUGGGCCCUGGUGAGUACCGGGCACGCCCGGUGUGGCCCGCGGGGGAUCGAGGUCCGUAUCGUCUCCUCAGAGAGCCCGCCAGUUACCACCGGGCCUUGAGAAGGGAGGUGGGAGAUGGAGCUUGGGCUGGGAGCCCAAACAGCAGAGAGCUCAGGGCCCGCCGCGCACUCAGGCCCCCGUGCGAGCGCCGAGCCGCCGCCGCGGGCACUGGCCGCAUGCCGGCUUUCCGAAGGCGCCGGCCUCUCGGUCACACGUAAUUAGCUUUGAUGCUCUCAUUUCGCUGAGGAGGUGGAAGACCCCAGCCCACUCUUUGCUGUAUAUUCAGACAUAACAUUUAUAAACCCUGCGAUGGCGUAAGUCGAGACGAUGCAGGGAGGAAAGGUGAUCUGGCUCAAGCAGCAAAAGCUUGAAAUUAGGGUUUGAUUCGCUUUCUUUACAGUAUUCUUCUUAGGCUGCUAACAGCAGAGUCUAUGUCAGAUAAUAAGGUGGCAGGUGCGAUCUUCCUGUAAUUUGUCCUGAAAUUAAACUCAGAGUAUAGCUAUCUUUUCAUUCCUCCUACCACCGUAAUUUUUGAUGGUGUGCAUAAAGGGAAAGAAAUACGUAGUCUCUUUUCCCCUACGCCCUUUUGUCAUAAGGAUAAUUAACACACGUGAGCGGAUAAUAAAUAAUGUCUUGUUUAGAAUGUUUUAGCCUUUCACUGUUCUAGCUUUCUUCGGUCUUGUCCCUGAGAUACUUAAAUGCGAGAACAUGUAGACCCAGUAUCGCGUAAAGGCAAAAGGUGGCUCUACCAAGUUUGUUAAUUGCCCAAAACCCCCGCCCCCAUCCUGAGUACUGGGAUUACAGGCCAUGGCCACUUUGUCAGGUCUCUUCCUCAUUUUGUUUUUUAAAUUAGUAAAAUAGCAAAUGAAAGU
RNAcentral lists this long non-coding RNA (1097 nucleotides) under Rattus norvegicus (Norway rat). RNAcentral describes it as "long non-coding RNA NONRATT006536". The record is from RNAcentral. Lineage: Eukaryota; Metazoa; Chordata; Mammalia; Rodentia; Muridae.